CAGUCGCCGCGGUAAUACGUAGGGUGCAAGCGUUAAUCGGAAUUACUGGGCGUAAAGCGUGCGCAGGCGGUUCUAUAAGACAGAUGUGAAAUCCCCGGGCUCAACCUGGGAACUGCGUUUGUGACUGUAGAGCUGGAGUGCGGCAGAGGGGGAUGGAAUUCCGCGUGUAGCGGUGAAAUGCGUUGAGAUCGGAAAGAACACCAACGGCGAAAGCACUCUGCUGGGCCAACACUGACACUGAGAGACGAAAGCUAGGGGAGCAAAUGGGAUUAGAUACCCCCGUAGUCCCUGUCUCUUAUAC
This 301-nucleotide ribosomal RNA is filed under the name uncultured bacterium. Its description in RNAcentral is "partial 16S ribosomal RNA". It matches the Rfam family "Bacterial small subunit ribosomal RNA", at positions 509 to 807 of the family's 1533-position model. The record is from RNAcentral.